GGUUGUCACGCCAGUGGCAUUGCCGGGUAGCUAUGUUCGGAAAAGAUAACCGCUGAAAGCAUCUAAGCGGGAAACUUGCCUCAAGAUGAGAUCUCACUGGGACCUUGAGUCCCCUGAAGGGCCGUCGAAGACUACGACGUUGAUAGGCAGGGUGUGUAAGCGCUGUGAGGCGUUGAGCUAACCUGUACUAAUUGCCCGUGAGGCUUGACCAU
RNAcentral lists this ribosomal RNA (212 nucleotides) under Pseudomonas sp. NFACC37-1. RNAcentral describes it as "23S rRNA. Bacterial LSU". It matches the Rfam family "Bacterial large subunit ribosomal RNA", at positions 2719 to 2925 of the family's 2925-position model. The record is from RNAcentral. Lineage: Bacteria; Pseudomonadati; Pseudomonadota; Gammaproteobacteria; Pseudomonadales; Pseudomonadaceae.